This 238-nucleotide ribosomal RNA is filed under the name uncultured bacterium. Its description in RNAcentral is "partial 16S ribosomal RNA". It matches the Rfam family "Bacterial small subunit ribosomal RNA", at positions 1263 to 1500 of the family's 1533-position model. The record is from RNAcentral.
UAGAGCAAAUCUCAAAAAAACAAUCUCAGUUCAGACUGCAGGCUGCAACUCGCCUGCACGAAGUCGGAAUUGCUAGUAACCGUAGGUCAGCAUACUACGGUGAAUACGUUCCCGGGCCUUGUACACACCGCCCGUCAAACCAUGAGAGUUGGCAACACCCGAAGUCGGUAGUCUAACCGCAAGGAGGACGCCGCCGAAGGUGGGGUUGAUGAUUAGGGUUAAGUCGUAACAAGGUAUC